RNAcentral lists this unclassified non-coding RNA (332 nucleotides) under Hevea brasiliensis (rubber tree). The record is from RNAcentral. Lineage: Eukaryota; Viridiplantae; Streptophyta; Magnoliopsida; Malpighiales; Euphorbiaceae.
GGCAGCCCUAGUAGUUAAAGCAGCGUCUCUCGCGCACAUAGCUAGAGAAUCUACGGAUAUUCAUCGCCUUUCUCAAUUCUACAAAGAGAUGUUUGGAUUCGAGGAAAUUGAGAGUCCAAAUUUUGGUGAACUCAAGGUUAUUUGGCUAAAUCUUCCUUCUGCCUUUCAACUUCACCUCAUCGAGAGAGACCCUAAAUCCAAGCUUCCCGAAGGUCCAUGGAACGCCAUGUCACCCGUUGCUGACCCUAGCCAUCUUCCCCGAGGUCACCACAUCUGUCUCUCUGUUUCCAGUUCCAAUUUCGACUCCGUCGUUCAUGCUCUCAAGGAAAAGG